RNAcentral lists this ribosomal RNA (506 nucleotides) under uncultured bacterium. Its description in RNAcentral is "partial 16S ribosomal RNA". It matches the Rfam family "Bacterial small subunit ribosomal RNA", at positions 30 to 523 of the family's 1533-position model. The record is from RNAcentral.
AUUGAACGCUGGCGGUAUGCUUAACACAUGCAAGUCGAACGGCAGCAUGGUCUAGCUUGCUAGACUGAUGGCGAGUGGCGGACGGGUGAGUAACGCGUAGGAAUAUGCCUUGAAGAGUAGGACAACUUGGGGAAACUCAAGCUAAUACCGCAUGUACUCGAGAGAGUAAAGCUGGGGACCUUUAGGCCUGGCGCUUUAAGAUUAGCCCGCGUCCGAUUAGCUAGUUGGUAGGGUAAAGGCCUACCAAGGCGACGAUCGGUAGCUGGUCUGAGAGGAUGAUCAGCCACACUGGAACUGUGGGACGGUCCGGACGCCUACGGGAGGCAGCAGUGGGGAAUAUUGGACAAUGGGGGGAACCCUGAUCCAGCAAUGCCGCGUGUGUGAAGAAGGCCUGAGGGUUGUAAAGCACUUUCAGUGGGGAGGAGGUUUGGAAGGUUAAGAGCUAUUCAAAUGGACGUUACCCACAGAAGAAGCACCGGCUAACUCCGCGCCAGCCGCCGCCGUAA